AACCAGCCUAAAUGCCAUGUAUGUUGGAGCCCUGACCUUAACAGCAGCAUAUGAGCUCUGAAGACAGAAAAUAGCUACAACAGAUUUGACUGGAAACCAAAACCCAAGAAAGAAGGCAGACGAAACACAACACCUAAAGUCAUUACCUCUCUUCCAACUGCAAAUGCUGCAUGAUAAGCUUACAGGAAGCGCGUUGAGCAGUUGAAGGAAGACAACCAUUUGGAGGUGUCCUAGUGUCCACUUGAGGAAAACAACUUUACACCUCUAAGAAAACCAAUAUAGGCAUUUUUUAAAAAAUUACUACAAAGUGAAUAAACUAUUAUGGAACAA
Molecule: long non-coding RNA, 330 nt
Organism: Rhineura floridana
Lineage: Eukaryota; Metazoa; Chordata; Lepidosauria; Squamata; Rhineuridae
Exons: 3
Source: RefSeq, a predicted model, not a curated record